UUAUGGUUUAAAAAAUUUAUUUUAAAUUUAUUUUACAUAUAAAUUUUAGUGUUAAAUUAAAUUUAUUUUAAUAAUAAUUUAAAUAAAAUAGUAGUAAUUAAUAUUAAAUAUUUAAGAAAUUAAGAUUUAGUAAUAUAUAAAUUAAUAACAAAUUUUGUGCCAGCAGUUGCGGUUAAACAAAAAUUAAAUUAAAUUUUAUUAGUUAAUUAAUAAAUAAAUUUAUUUAUAAUUUAAAAUUUAAAUUAUAAGGUGAAAUUUUAAUUUAAUAAAAUAUUAUGAAAAUUUUAUGAUUUAAUAAAUUUUAAUAAAAACUAGGAUUAGAUACCCUAUUAUGAAAAAUUUUAAAAUUAAAAUACUAAAAUAGUAAAUAAUUAUUUAUUGAAACUUAAAUAAUUUGGCGGUAUUUUAGUUCAUUUAGAGGAAUCUGUUUAAUAAUUGAUAAUCCACGAAUAAAUUUACUUAAUUUUUAAUUUUGUAUAUCGUUGUUAAAAAAAUAUUUUUAUUAAAAAAUAAUAUUUAAAAAUUAAAAUGAAAAUUAAAUCAAAUCAAGAUGCAGAUUAUAAUUAAGAAUAUAAUGGAUUACAAUAAAUUUAUUUAAAUAAAUAUUAAUUUGAAAAAAUUAAUUGAAAGUGGAUUUAAAUGUAAUUUUAUUUAAUUUAAUAAAAUGAUUAAAAAUUAAAAUAUGUACAUAUUGCCCGUCGCUUUCAUAUAUAUAUAUAUAUAUAUAUAUAUUAAAAUAAAAUGAAAUAAGUCGUAACAAAGUAGAGGUACUGGAAAGUGUUUCUAGAAAGAA
This 793-nucleotide non-coding RNA is filed under the name Polypogon tarsicrinata. Lineage: Eukaryota; Metazoa; Arthropoda; Insecta; Lepidoptera; Erebidae. The record is from RNAcentral.